GUGAGAAGCAAACUCGGCUGGGUUUUAGCUGUCCAUGUUGCCACCAGCUGGGCUGGAACAAGAGUUUCAGAGUGUGUUCCAGCUGGAGACCAGUCUGACCACCUCCUCCUCCGGCGCGAGAGGACGAUGCUGAGCGCAGCGCUUCACCUCACUGCGCUCCUUCAACAGAGGAACCUUUUCUUCGCAUAGGAAGUACUCCAACGGAUUUCCUGCAGGUGCUACGACCUGUGGGGAAGCGAGAGGAGAAACACGGCGACAGUUGAAAAAUGAGGGGUAAAAAAGAGGGCUACUACCACAUUAUUCAGGUGUCAAAUGUUUAUUUCUUGAGUACUAACCAUGUCCAGCAGCUGUUUGGCGGUCGUCUGUUCUGUGACACAGAACACAGUGAAGGGCUCAGGACCGGGAGCUCCGUACACUGUAAUCCUGUGUUGCUGCGACGUACGUUUUUCCUCCGAACUGAACAGCUGUGUAGAGAGCAGGAGAGGGGUAAGGCAGCAGGUUUCUAAGUGCCACUUUGUAAAAAACACUAUAAGUAAAAGUCCUGCAUUCAAAACCUUUGUUAAGUAAGUAGUAAGUCUAAUCACCAAAAUUUAAAUUGUAUCAAAUGUUUUUACUUUUGUACUCAGUAUGCAGAAAAAUCAGCCCUUUCAGUGUUUUAGUUUUAGAGAUGUUUGCAGUAGAUGUUUAAGGUUAAGCUACUUUUAACUACUUUCAUUGGGGACACAUUAAAUGAUUGGACGUGGUCAUUACAGUCCACAGAUAUAGCAUUUGAUUUAUUGAUUGUUGUUGGGAAGUAAAGGGAAUUUCAACAAUAAAAAAUCCCUUUAAAAUAAA
Long non-coding RNA from Micropterus dolomieu (smallmouth bass), 834 nucleotides. RefSeq lists it as uncharacterized. Lineage: Eukaryota; Metazoa; Chordata; Actinopteri; Centrarchiformes; Centrarchidae. The transcript is spliced from 2 exons. The record is from RefSeq and is a predicted model, not a curated record.